CGGCGAUUUCGUCCGUGUGUACGUGCAGCCUCUCAAGCACUUGCAUGUGCGCACUCAAAGAGGUGUUGUGCCAUCUGCUUGCCGCUCGAAAAGAGGACGACAACGUCUUGUUUGUUUGGUUUCUUUUCCUUCGGCUACCCGCAUUUCAUCGAAAGUCAUCUAUGGCACUUUCAACCAGCGGAUCUGCCGCGUUGGGGAAUAGGAUUGCACGGGCGACAGCGGCGGCACCGCAGUGGACAGUACAGCAGCGGUGCUUCCGACAGCUAAUGAAGUCGCUUCGAGGUGCCUACUUCCACGACCGCUCGAAACUAUUUUGGGCACGGCAUCGCGUCCUCGUGGAGUUCUACAAGUACUCCCGCGUGGAAGAGGAGAAAGACGUGCUGCUGCUCGUCGGCAUCGGCAACGAAAUCGCGACCUUCGUGGCCGAGUACAUGAAAGUAGACGUUGGCGCCAUCAUGGAGCAUAACGAAAAGAUCCAGUCGCUUCCGGUGGCCAAGGCAAAAAAGUACCGUGAGGAGUAUUUGCUACAUGAGAAGCAGCAUGAGUCGUGGUGUAAGCAGAAGAUUCGACUCAUGAUGGACCGCCGGCCGCCACCACCGUAUCCGUUCUCUUAAGUGGCGCACUUGUGGGGGUGGGGAACGGGGGGGGGGGCAAAAGAGGAGAAGAGGGGGUAAGAGUGCGUCUCCUGACGUUUGCUGGCGCACGUGCGGACGAGAGGUGGCAGGGAAGGAGGCGUUUGAGGUGCGCUGAGCCAACAGCCGUAGGUGGCUCGGCUGUCGGCUGGCUCUCUCUCUCAUUCUCUUUUCCUGCCUUCCAUAGAGCGUCCAUCCGAGCCCUCUUUGUGCAUCAUUUCCCCACUUGCCCCCCCCCUUCACACACACACACACAGCAACCUCACAGUCUCUCCUUACGUGUUCACACAAAUACAUGAAGAAGAAGCGGUUCGGAAAAAAAAAAACAGAAAAAACCGGGAGCAAAAGAGCCGCGUCACGUAUGUCUUCGGGGCAGAGACUCUGCCGCGUGAUGGCGCGUCUACUCGGUUUAUGUUCCGUGUGUCGCGGAGAAGGUUGUAGUUCUUCCGGACAAGGGCCUCCCGUUCUGUAGAAGACCGCGGCAACUCUAUUGAUUCUGAACGUCAGGGGUGUUGGCGUCGUUGCUCUGCCAAAAUGACCUCUCUCUUUCACUUUGUUUUCCCCUCGUUGAUUGUCGUGCUCGCCCACUGCCGGCAUUCGCCGCAUGGGCCCACUACAUCAUCGCUUUUGCCCGUGUGUAACCGGUGGGAGGGAGGGGGGCACUCUCUUGAAG
This 1305-nucleotide unclassified non-coding RNA is filed under the name Leishmania donovani. RNAcentral describes it as "gene:LdHU3.34.5320(CDS-product:hypothetical_prote in_conserved)". Lineage: Eukaryota; Euglenozoa; Kinetoplastea; Trypanosomatida; Trypanosomatidae. The record is from RNAcentral.